Molecule: long non-coding RNA, 264 nt
Filed under: Brassica rapa (field mustard)
Lineage: Eukaryota; Viridiplantae; Streptophyta; Magnoliopsida; Brassicales; Brassicaceae
Description: long non-coding RNA (BRAP_LNC005344)
Source: RNAcentral
UGUAAUUUCCUCUUAUUUUAAAACCUUUUAAGUUUUAACAUAAAAUUCGUUAAUGUCAAUUUCCCUCGUUUACCUUUAAAUUGUCGUCAAAUACUCAAAUGUGGAUGAAAAUAGUUAAAUCAAAAUAUUGUGUUAUAACUAAAAUAAAAAAAAAACUAAAUAUUUUUAAUAAUAAAAAAUCAAUUAAAAUAAAUAGUAAGCCCUUCAAUUAUAUUUUGAACGAAUCAAUCCUUUAACUCAACAUCUAUUAAAUGUCAAUCUUCC